GGAUUGUGGCUCAGUGGUAGAGCACUAGCCUAGCACGUGCGAAGCCCAGGGUUUGAUCCUCAGCACCA
RNAcentral lists this transfer RNA (68 nucleotides) under Marmota monax (woodchuck). RNAcentral's name for it is "tRNA.Ala". Lineage: Eukaryota; Metazoa; Chordata; Mammalia; Rodentia; Sciuridae. The record is from RNAcentral.